RNAcentral lists this ribosomal RNA (469 nucleotides) under uncultured archaeon. RNAcentral's name for it is "bacterial SSU rRNA". It matches the Rfam family "Archaeal small subunit ribosomal RNA", at positions 1 to 471 of the family's 1478-position model. The record is from RNAcentral.
UUCCGGUUGAUCCUGCCGGAGGCCAUUGCUAUCGGAGUCCGAUUUAGCCAUGCUAGUCGUGCGAGUUUAGACUCGCGGCACCGAGCUCAGUAACACGUGGCCAAACUACCCUGUAGAGACGUAUAACCUCGGGAAACUGAGGCUAAUUCGUCAUACCGGUUGAACGGUUGAACUCCAUCAACCUCGAAAUGCCCCGGCGCUACAGGAUGUGGCUGCGGCCGAUUAGGUUGACGGUGGGGUAACGGCCCACCGUGCCAAUAAUCGGAACAGGUUGUGAGAGCAAGAACCUGGAGACGGUAUCUGAGACAAGAUGCCGGGCCCUACGGGGCGCAGCAGGCGCGAAACCUUUACACUGCACGCACGUGCGAUAAGGGGACUCCGAGUGCGAGGGCAUAUCGUCCUCGCUUUUGUGUACCGUAGGGUGGUACACGAACAAGGGCUGGGCAAGACCGGUGCCAGCCGCCGCGGU